AACGAACGCUGGCGGCAGGCUUAACACAUGCAAGUCGAACGCCCCGCAAGGGGAGUGGCAGACGGGUGAGUAACGCGUGGGAAUCUACCCAGUUCUACGGAACAACAGUUGGAAACGACUGCUAAUACCGUAUACGCCCUAAGGGGGAAAGAUUUAUCGGAAUUGGAUGAGCCCGCGUUGGAUUAGCUAGUUGGUGGGGUAAUGGCCUACCAAGGCGACGAUCCAUAGCUGGUCUGAGAGGAUGAUCAGCCACACUGGGACUGAGACACGGCCCAGACUCCUACGGGAGGCAGCAGUGGGGAAUAUUGGACAAUGGGCGCAAGCCUAAUCCAGCCAUGCUGCGUGAGUGAUGAAGGCCUUAGGGUUGUAAAGCUCUUUCAGUAGGGAAGAUAAUGACGGUACCUACAGAAGAAGCCCCGGGCUAACUUCGUGCCAGCAGCCGCGGUAAUACGAAGGGGGCUAGCGUUGUUCGGAUUACUGGGCGUAAAGCGCACGUAGGCGGUUUG
This 506-nucleotide ribosomal RNA is filed under the name uncultured bacterium. RNAcentral's name for it is "bacterial SSU rRNA". It matches the Rfam family "Bacterial small subunit ribosomal RNA", at positions 28 to 582 of the family's 1533-position model. The record is from RNAcentral.